CCCUGUGUCGGUUUAUUUUUUCUGAAAAAAUGGUAAUCCUGGAGAACAUACUGAAAGCUGAUUUGUAACAUUGCAGUGUUGCAUUGCAUAUAUUUGCAUACGAGAGUUACUAAGAAAUGUAAUGUUGCUGAGAACCAAGUUUCAAUAUUCUGCUUUUUCUUCAGUUAUCAAUUAGCUUAAUUGCAUACACAUGAAUAGAUAUGCUAAAUGCAUCUAGCAAAAUAGGAUUAGGAGGUGUAUUCAGUGGAGUGGAUUAUUUCGUCAAUUUACUGUAGCAAAUAUAGCUGUUGCUGACAGUAGACAUUUGUUACAUAUACCUGUAUAAUUUUGUCUUGCUGCUCAAAACAGUUUCACGGAAAACAAGCCAGAAUCCGAAAGUGCUCCAUAGUUAGUUCGCCAGAAUUUCGUCGGUCGGUUCUCCGCUUCAAAUAUGUGGACGAAGAGGCUUGAAAUCAUGGUCUUUGGUUAACUCUUAUUGAAAUUAACUCUACUGUUGAGAGAGUCGUUACUGAAAGUAAUCAGGAGUUCAUUGGUGACAUAUUGGUUUUUCUUGCAAUGGUUGCUAAUUCCUACGAGGGCUUACAGGUUAACUCUUGUAAUUUUCUUCUACCAAGCGUGGAUCAGCUCCUGUAGUAGCUAUCUUUAAUUUGCAACAGGUGAUAUAUGGCGAUGAGAUGGGCUUCUUCAGCUCUUUAUUUGGCAGCUCUCUUCUGUAAUCCCCUCUAUGUUGUCAUGAAAUUUCAGCAACACAAAUUUGUGAUCCUGCCAAUUAAUCAUGAUGAUUUAGAAAGAAAUGUUACCCAGGACUAUGUACUGUACUAAUAUUCGGAAAAAUGUAUGCUUGUAUCUCUUUCAGGUCCGUGCUAGCUAUUUAUUUGAACAUUCCGAUAAUAUGUGCGAAAGGAUGAUGCCCAUAUUGACUAAUUUUCUCUCUUUUGUAGGUCAAAAAAAUGGUCUUGUGUGGGUUACAAACCAAUGCUUGCUUGCGUACACUCUGGUGCUCCAGUUAAAGAUCCAAAGCUAUAAUGUACUCCUUCCGUUUCCUUUUAGACUGCAUAUAACUUUUGUCUGAAGUCAAGGUAUCUUUAUUUUGACCAAACUUAUAGAAAAAACAUAUCAACAUUUACAAGGCCAAAAAAUAUCUUUAGAUUCAUUAUGGAAUUUAGUUUCAUAUUAUGUAUAUUUUGUAUUGUAGAUGAUGAUAAUUUUUUAUACAAAUUUGGUCAAAGUUUGUAAAGCUUGACUCAACAUAAAACUUAUAUGCGGAGUAAAAAGGAAUGGAGGGAGUAUUGUGAUGAGUAACCAUCAGUUGGUGAAGCCAUUCUCUUAUGAAUACUACUGCAUCUCUCUCAUCUCUUUUAUUGAGUGAGCACUUGCGACGGGACAUGCAGGAACAAAAACCACAAGAAGAGUACAAAUGAAGUCACAACGAGCUGAGCAGAGUAGCUGGCGAUCAAAUGAUUUCGGGUCCCUGCUAGCUAUUUCUGAUCUUGAAGCUAUUCCUUCAGGACACAUGAUUACACUAUAUUACAAGUUGAAAAAGUGUGUAAAGUGGAAGUUAGUACUAAAGCGGAUUGCUCUUUUUGAACCGCCAACAAAUUUUAG
RNAcentral lists this long non-coding RNA (1605 nucleotides) under Triticum aestivum (bread wheat). Its description in RNAcentral is "long non-coding RNA (TAES_LNC021070)". Lineage: Eukaryota; Viridiplantae; Streptophyta; Magnoliopsida; Poales; Poaceae. The record is from RNAcentral.